This 497-nucleotide ribosomal RNA is filed under the name uncultured bacterium. RNAcentral describes it as "partial 16S ribosomal RNA". It matches the Rfam family "Bacterial small subunit ribosomal RNA", at positions 28 to 507 of the family's 1533-position model. The record is from RNAcentral.
GAUGAACGCUGGCGGCGUGCCUAAUACAUGCAAGUCGAACGAACGGACGAGACGCUUGCUUCACUGAUGUUAGCGGCGGACGGGUGAGUAACACGUGGAUAACCUACCUCUUAGAGUGGGAUAACUUCGGGAAACCGGAGCUAAUACCGGAAAAUAUUUUGAACCGCAUGGUUCAAAAGUGAAUGCCGGUCUUGCUGUCCCUUAUAGAUGGAUCCGCGCUGCAUUAGCUAGUUGGUAAGGUAACGGCUUACCAAGGCAACGAUGCAUAGCCGACCUGAGAAGGGGAAGCGCCACACUGGAAGUGAGACACGGUCCUGGCUCCUACGGGAGGCAGCGGCAGCGAAGCGUCCGCGAUGGGCGAAAGCCUGACGGAGCAGCGCCGGCCUGGUGAUGAAGGUCUUCGUGGCGGAUGACUCUGUUAGUGUUGAAGAACAUAUGUGUAAGUGACGGAGCACAUCGUGACGGUACCUAGUCAGGAAGCCCCGGCUAACUACGUG